This 247-nucleotide long non-coding RNA is filed under the name Ananas comosus (pineapple). RNAcentral's name for it is "long non-coding RNA (ACOM_LNC018481)". The record is from RNAcentral. Lineage: Eukaryota; Viridiplantae; Streptophyta; Magnoliopsida; Poales; Bromeliaceae.
UUAGUACUAACAUGUUUAAGUUUCUGAAAAAAUUUGAUAGCAUUUUUUUUUUUUGAGAGAUAGAUAGCAUGCUAUCCGUUUCACUUAUUUCAUUUAGAAAUAAACUUAGAUAGAAAUGUGAAUUAACUAGGAUUCGAACUUGGAUCUCGAAUACCAACCACCAAACCCUUUGCCACUUGCUCUAGGGACAGUCGAUAAUUUGAUAGCAUGUUGGCCUUGAUGCGGAAAGUGCGCAAUAAUUUAAAAG